UAGUCCCUGCCGUGUUCGUGACUUGGCCAUACAUUCCUUGAACCAAUGCUUAUGGCAUACAGGUUGCUGGAUUGACAAGUAGGCGUGACUGCCAUUUUUAUGGUGUUCCCGAAGCUUGACUGAAGGCGACCACCUUGGACCUCAGGUUCCAGGAUGCCGGCCUAGACGGCACAGGCGGGGCAAUU
This 185-nucleotide non-coding RNA is filed under the name Candidimonas sp. Its description in RNAcentral is "6S RNA". It matches the Rfam family "6S / SsrS RNA". Rfam says of the family: E. coli 6S RNA was the first non coding RNA to be sequenced, but its function was unknown until recently. RNAcentral also lists the same sequence under 1 other name. The record is from RNAcentral. Lineage: Bacteria; Pseudomonadati; Pseudomonadota; Betaproteobacteria; Burkholderiales; Alcaligenaceae.